AUCGCUUCUCGGCCUUUUGGCUAAGAUCAAGUGUAAGAUUAUCAGUUCUACCACCCCUAAUACUGCUCUUUGUGAUACAAUUUCCAAAAUUAGUAUUUUAAACAAGUUAUUGCUUAUAUAUAGGAAUAUUA
Molecule: small nuclear RNA, 131 nt
Filed under: Camelus bactrianus (Bactrian camel)
Lineage: Eukaryota; Metazoa; Chordata; Mammalia; Artiodactyla; Camelidae
Also listed under: 1 other name
Description: U2 spliceosomal RNA
Rfam family: U2 spliceosomal RNA
About the family: U2 is a small nuclear RNA (snRNA) component of the spliceosome (involved in pre-mRNA splicing).
Source: Rfam by way of RNAcentral